This 767-nucleotide long non-coding RNA is filed under the name Bos indicus x Bos taurus (hybrid cattle). RNAcentral describes it as "lncRNA (ENSBIXG00000021609.1)". Lineage: Eukaryota; Metazoa; Chordata; Mammalia; Artiodactyla; Bovidae. The record is from RNAcentral.
AAUCUGUUCCAAAGCAGACUUAGACCCACUGAAGCUCAUGGGGACUUCCUGGGUCUUUGCUGUUGCUCUCCUAGGUCAUCAAAGCAAUACCACAUGGCAGUUUCCUACCGUGGAGCCUUUGAAGGAUGACAGAUCCAGGGAUGACAGAGCGACUUCAUCCACGAGGGAAGUCACCCCGCGGCCUUGAGGCCCCCAUCCCAGCAGAGACUGAUGGAGCGGGCCGGCGCUGGAGCAGCUGGGCUCGAGCACUGCCUGCCAUCUUCCCUAUCUUUAAUGGACACUGCAGGCUGAGCAGACACCCCAAGUUCCUGUGGGGCACCAGCUGGGCUCUUCCUCACCAAAGGUACCUCAGGGCACCUUGCAAAUAUGUUUGAUGUUUUUCCUUUCCCGUUGUUGAAGAGUGGCUGCAGAAGCAAGAGAAUAAGGUAGGGAGCUGCUGCUGCUGCUGCUAAGUCUCUUCAGUCGUGUCCAACUCUGUGGGACCCCAUAGACGGCAGCCCACCAGGCUCCUCCGUCCCUGGGAUUCUCCAGGCAAGAAUACUGGAGUGGGUUGCCAGUUCCUUCUCCAAGGGUAGGGAGAGGAGAUAAUAAUUACCAAGCUUUGUGGGUGUUUCUGUGAUGUGUGCCUAGGUCAUGUGUGUGUGUGUGUGUGUCUGUGUCUGUGUGUGUGUAACAGGAAGAAGGAGGGAGGAGAGGGAACAGGGAAAAGGGAGAGGGAGAGGAAGAUGGGAAGAAAAAGAGAGAAACCUAAAGAACCGUAGACCAAG